UUUUCAAAUUGGACCUGA
RNAcentral lists this unclassified non-coding RNA (18 nucleotides) under Pythium insidiosum. RNAcentral describes it as "partial large subunit ribosomal RNA". Lineage: Eukaryota; Oomycota; Peronosporomycetes; Pythiales; Pythiaceae. The record is from RNAcentral.